GGGCCCGUAGCUCAGCCUGGUUGGAGCGCUGGUCUUAUAAGCCAGUGGUCCGGGGUUCAAAUCCCUGCGGGCCCA
RNAcentral lists this transfer RNA (75 nucleotides) under Candidatus Woesearchaeota archaeon. RNAcentral describes it as "tRNA-Ile". It matches the Rfam family "tRNA". Rfam says of the family: Transfer RNA (tRNA) molecules are approximately 80 nucleotides in length. Their secondary structure includes four short double-helical elements and three loops (D, anti-codon, and T loops). Lineage: Archaea; Nanobdellati; Candidatus Woesearchaeota. The record is from RNAcentral.